CCUACGGGGUGCAGCAGUGAGGAAUAUUGGUCAAUGGGCGAGAGCCUGAACCAGCCAAGUCGCGUGAGGGAGUACUGCCCUAUGGGUUGUAAACCUCUUUUGUCGGGGAGCAAAAGCCGGACGUGUCCGGCUGUGAGAGUACCCGAAGAAAAAGCAUCGGCUAACUCCGUGCCAGCAGCCGCGGUAAUACGGAGGAUGCGAGCGUUAUCCGGAUUUAUUGGGGUUAAAGGGUGCGCAGGCGGAUUUUUAAGUCAGCGGUCAAAUCGUGGGGCUCAACCCCAUCCAGCCGUUGAAACUGGGGAUCUAGAGUGUGCGAGAGGUAUGCGGAAUGCGUGGUGUAGCGGUGAAAUGCAUAGAUAUCACGCAGAACCCCGAUUGCGAAGGCAGCAUACCGGUGCACAACUGACGCUCAGGCACGAAAGCAUGGGUAUCGAACAGGAUUAGAUACCCCAGUAGUC
This 458-nucleotide ribosomal RNA is filed under the name uncultured bacterium. RNAcentral's name for it is "partial 16S ribosomal RNA". It matches the Rfam family "Bacterial small subunit ribosomal RNA", at positions 338 to 795 of the family's 1533-position model. The record is from RNAcentral.